UGCCUACUAAAAUAUUAAAAACAAUUGCAUUUCCGUUAUCAAUUCACUUAUCUCACCUUAUUAACAUGUCAUUUGAAAAAGGUUCAUUCCCGACUAGAUUAAAGAAAUCAAUAGUUAAACCCAUAUUUAAAAAAGGGGAGAUAAAUAAUCUUAAUAACUACAGACCAAUAACAUUAAUUCCCGUUUUAUCAAAAAUAUACGAGAAUACAUAUUAUAAUAGACUAGAUAACUUCUUAACAAAAAACAACGUUCUAAGACAGGAACAAAAUGGCUUUAGAAAAAAUAAAUCCACAACAUUGGCUUGUUUCGAACUCAACAAUCAAAUAACAGAAUGCAUAGACCAAGGUAUUCCUGUUGGCGUACUAUUUCUCGAUAUGUCAAAAGCAUUUGACACGGUUUGUCAUAAACGCCUGC
This is a long non-coding RNA of Cydia fagiglandana, 414 nucleotides long. RefSeq lists it as uncharacterized. The record is from RefSeq and is a predicted model, not a curated record. The transcript has 2 exons. NCBI's taxonomy places the organism in Eukaryota, Metazoa, Arthropoda, Insecta, Lepidoptera, Tortricidae.